Molecule: ribosomal RNA, 292 nt
Filed under: uncultured bacterium
Lineage: Bacteria
Description: partial 16S ribosomal RNA
Source: RNAcentral
GGACUACCGGGGUAUCUAAUCCUGUUUGCUCCCCUUGCUUUCGCGCCUCAGCGUCAGUUUCAGCCCAGAAAACCGUCUUCACCACCGGUGUUCUUCCACAUAUCUACGCAUUUCACCGCUACACGUGGAAUUCCGUUUUCCCUAACUGUACUCUAGUUCGGAAGUUUCAAAUGCAGCUUCGGAGUUGAGCCCCGAAAUUUCACAUCUGACUUUCCGAACCGCCUACGCGCCCUUUACGCCCAGUAAUUCCGAUCAAUGCUUGCACCCUCCGUAUUACCGCGGCUGCUGGCAC